UCAGGGGCCCAGCCGCUCCACGGCACGUGGGAUCUUCCCGGACCGGGGCACGAACCCGCGUUCACUGCAUCGGCAGGUGGACUCCCAACCACUGUGCCACCACGGAAGCCCCAACACUUUGAUUUGAACCCAGUGAGACCUCAGUUGGACCUCUAACCUACAGAACCUGUCUCCAGGAAGGAAUGGGAGUCCAAACAGCCCAGAUGAAGAGUCCAUAGGGAUGAGGGACAGGCUGAGGAUGAAGCCAGCACUUUCUCUUCCUGCCCCAGUUGAACCCGGGGUGAAGAAAGCGAUCCCCUGCCUGGAUGAAUUACAAGAAUGUUCCUGAAAGCUCUCCCAUGACAUUUUAAACAGCAGCUGCCCCAAGUAGGGAGACAAAAAAGGGUGAUUUCACCAAGGGAGGAACAAAAGACAUUUCACAGACUUGCCCACCUUGGCACCUUUCCCACGAGCUGAUCUCACGAAAGGACCGAUUCUCCUGGAUACCUCACCUGCCUAUCGGGGAGCGAUGUAAUUAUGAUGUAAAUUAAGAUGACUCAAUCAACAUGACUGUGUCCUUAUAGAGAGAGAAUAGACACACGCAGUAAAGAGAAAGCCAUGUGACGACACAGACACACAGAGGAAGAUGGCCAUGUGAUGAUGGGGGCAGAGAUUGGAGUUACGCAGCUACAAGCCAAGGAAAGCCGGUGACUGCCAGAAGUUAAGAGACAGAGAGCAUGGCCCUACCAAGAACCGUGGGCUUUGGACUUCUUGCCUCCAGAACUGUGAGACUAAAUUUCUGUUGUUUUAACAACACAGAUAACAAUUUCUUAAGCACUUACCACACACUAGGCAAUGUGCUUGGCAUAUACUAUCUCAUUUGAUCUUCAUAUAAAUUUACUUAUACCUAUUGUUCUCGCUUUAAUACUGAAGUUCCACAGAGGCUUAAUAACUGGCCCAGUGUCUCAUAGCUGGAACACAGAUGGUGGUGCUGGAAUCUGAAUGCUGCCUCGGUGCCUCUAAAGCACUGCCACCAAGAAAAUGAAUCUUUUGUGCUGGUU
This is a non-coding RNA of Delphinapterus leucas (beluga whale), 1040 nucleotides long. The record is from RefSeq and is a predicted model, not a curated record. NCBI's taxonomy places the organism in Eukaryota, Metazoa, Chordata, Mammalia, Artiodactyla, Monodontidae.